GACGAAGGGGGCUAGCGUUGUUCGGAAUUACUGGGCGUAAAGCGCGUGUAGGCGGUUGUCCAAGUUGGAUGUGAAAGCCUUGAGCUUAACUCAAGAAAUGCAUUCAGGACUGGGCGACUAGAGGACCGGAGAGGAUAGUGGAAUUCCCAGUGUAGUGGUGAAAUACGUAGAGAUUGGGAAGAACACCAGUGGCGAAGGCGGCUAUCUGGACGGUUUCUGACGCUAAGACACGAAAGCGUGGGGAGCAAACAGG
Molecule: ribosomal RNA, 253 nt
Filed under: uncultured bacterium
Lineage: Bacteria
Description: partial 16S ribosomal RNA
Rfam family: Bacterial small subunit ribosomal RNA
Source: RNAcentral